This is a long non-coding RNA of Rhodamnia argentea, 922 nucleotides long. RefSeq lists it as uncharacterized. The record is from RefSeq and is a predicted model, not a curated record. The transcript has 4 exons. NCBI's taxonomy places the organism in Eukaryota, Viridiplantae, Streptophyta, Magnoliopsida, Myrtales, Myrtaceae.
CGACCCACGACCACCGCCCCAGGACGGCGAGGACGGCAGUUGCCACCGUCCUAUCUGCCCACAUCGAGAGAGAGGGAUAGAGAGAUGGUUAACUCGCCAUUCUUACAUUGUUCCUCCGUCCGUCAAUGGCGGAACAGAGCUUAGAGUGGCGCGACGAGCAUUAUUGCCUUGUAGUGGUUUCUUACAAAAACAAAAACAAAAGUGAUGCAUGAUGAUGGAGCUUCACGAUCUCGAGAUUCUUAUGUUCGGUGUCAUCAUGCUUUAAACCAAGCAUUCUCCCUGUUUCCCCAUUUUGGUUUAUCAAGGUUUUGCACAGGAUGAGCUCAUAUCCUCCAUUUUCUCCUUUUGAAGGAAGAAUCACAUCAGUAUCAAAUAGUUACUGCAAAUCAGCGUCACAGGUGAAGAAGUUACAAAAUGAGAUUAAGUUCAACUACGCACUUAUGUUGAAGUGGAGUUCGAGUCCAGCCACCAUGGAUGGAGAUUUGAGAUCUGAAAGACAUGGAGGAAAAUAACCUGCAGGCUGCAUGUUAUUAGCAAUUCGACGCAUUCAUUAGCUCUGGAAAGAAUUCUGCCAUCCCACUGACACAGACAGUAUUUUUAGACCAAAGAGAAAACACAAUCAAGGCCUAAAGGUGAUAUGAACAAGAAAAGGUUGAUGCGAGCUAUCCUAGAAUGACAACAGACAUUUCCAGAAUACAAGUGCUGACUCGUGGAGAAUUCAACUCAGAAGGUAAAGACUGUAUCCUAAUCGAUGCUCCUGCCCUUCUCCUUUCGCACUUGUUUGCCCUAGGUUUCUGUCUGAGAUUGGUGGAAAUACCUCUAUUUUCUCCAUGUAUUGCUUCGAAUAUAGUGGUGCUUUUAAUCUUUUAUACGUCGAAGAUCCACGACAGUUUGUCGUCACUCAUAGUCAUACUGGAAAUGG